AGGCCUAUGAGGAUUCCGACUUUAUCGGGGUUUUGAGGAGCUCUGAUAUCAGAGGGAUUGAAGAUUUCUGCUGGACUAACAUUUCAGAGGAAAAAGUGAUAAACGAUGCCUCGCACCAAGGCGUCCCGACGUUCAGCAGCAGCGAAGAAAAGGCUGAUGGACCGGAACGUUGUGGCUAAGACUUAUGACGGGGUUAUGCCAUUUCCCCCCUCCCGGAAUACCAAAAUGGCUCUGACCGUGACUAAUCUGACUAGCCACAACCAACAGACUGAUUCCGCUGCUGCUGCCGUCCAUGUCGUGGCUAAGACUCAUGACAGGGUUAUGCCAUUUCCCUCCUCCCGGAAUAACAAAAUGGCUAUGACUGACUGCUUCGACAAGCCACGACCAACGGCCUGUGUCUGUCAUGGCUAUGACUGAUGACGGGGUUACGCCUUAUCCCCCCUCUCGGAAUUCCAAAAAGCUCCCGACUGUGACUUUCCCAACGAGCCAUGACCACCGGGUUCCCACCCUGGGUGCCAUUUGUACGACAGAUGACGAGUUGUUUGUGCCUUCUCUGACGAGGUGCAGCCACCUCAAAAGAAAGGCUGCAACUAUGAGACCAUCCAAAAAACUAUGCAAACGACCAUCCAAGAAAUGCAAACGACCAUCCAGUACAGCACUGCAAGUGCCCGUUCAAUUGCCCAUUCCAUUGUCCAUUCAACUUGCCAUUCAAUUGUCAAAACCCUUGUCAAAGUCUGAAUCAAAACUUACCCUGGAUCAACAACAGCAUGUGAACUGUAUAACUACAUCUGUAUCUACUGAUUUUCCUCAGGCACCUACAGUGAGAGGAUCCUUCCACCAAGGACACCCACGUUUUGGAGUCAACAGUAACGAGCAGUGUGUUGCUAAUAGUUUGAUUGCUACACUAAUGUGUAAAGUAAAGAACAUCUUAAGCUGGUCAGUCACCGACAUUGAUCAAGUGCUGCUGAAUGGAGAUGACCUCUACAGUGCCAUCAGAGACGCUGGGAGAAUUCAAGAUGCUUCUGGGUAUCUGU
Long non-coding RNA from Brienomyrus brachyistius, 1034 nucleotides. RefSeq lists it as uncharacterized. The transcript has 4 exons. The record is from RefSeq and is a predicted model, not a curated record. Lineage: Eukaryota; Metazoa; Chordata; Actinopteri; Osteoglossiformes; Mormyridae.